AUACGGAGGGUGCAAGCGUUAAUCGGAAUUACUGGGCGUAAAGCGUGUGUAGGUGGAUUGUUAAGUCAGAUGUGAAAGCCCCGGGCUCAACCUGGGAAUUGCAUUUGAUACUGGCAAUCUAGAGUAUGGUAGAGGGUAGUGGAAUUCCCGGUGUAGCAGUGAAAUGCGUAGAUAUCGGGAGGAACAUCAGUGGCGAAGGCGACUACCUGGACCAAUACUGACACUCAGACACGAAAGCGUGGGUAGCGAACGGGAUUAGAUACCCCAGUAGUCC
This 274-nucleotide ribosomal RNA is filed under the name uncultured bacterium. RNAcentral's name for it is "partial 16S ribosomal RNA". It matches the Rfam family "Bacterial small subunit ribosomal RNA", at positions 523 to 796 of the family's 1533-position model. The record is from RNAcentral.